CGAAUGCUGACAUAAGUAACGAUAAAGCGGGUGAAAAGCCCGCUCGCCGGAAGACCAAGGGUUCCUGUCCAACGUUAAUCGGGGCAGGGUGAGUCGACCCCUAAGGCGAGGCCGAAAGGCGUAGUCGAUGGGAAACAGGUUAAUAUUCCUGUACUUGGUGUUACUGCGAAGGGGGGACGGAGAAGGCUAUGUUGGCCGGGCGACGGUUGUCCCGGUUUAAGCGUGUAGGCUGGUUUUCCAGGCAAAUCCGGAAAAUCAAGGCUGAGGCGUGAUGACGAGGCACUACGGUGCUGAAGCAACAAAUGCCCUGCUUCCAGGAAAAGCCUCUAAGCAUCAGGUAACAUCAAAUCGUACCCCAAACCGACACAGGUGGUCAGGUAGAGAAUACCAAGGCGCUUGAGAGAACUCGGGUGAAGGAACUAGGCAAAAUGGUGCCGUAACUUCGGGAGAAGGCACGCUGAUAUGUAGGUGAAGCGACUUGCUCGUGGAGCUGAAAUCAGUCGAAGAUACCAGCUGGCUGCAACUGUUUAUUAAAAACACAGCACUGUGCAAACACGAAAGUGGACGUAUACGGUGUGACGCCUGCCCGGUGCCGGAAGGUUAAUUGAUGGGGUCAGCGCAAGCGAAGCUCUUGAUCGAAGCCCCGGUAAACGGCGGCCGUAACUAUAACGGUCCUAAGGUAGCGAAAUUCCUUGUCGGGUAAGUUCCGACCUGCACGAAUGGCGUAAUGAUGGCCAGGCUGUCUCCACCCGAGACUCAGUGAAAUUGAACUCGCUGUGAAGAUGCAGUGUACCCGCGGCAAGACGGAAAGACCCCGUGAACCUUUACUAUAGCUUGACACUGAACAUUGAGCCUUGAUGUGUAGGAUAGGUGGGAGGCUUUGAAGUGUGGACGCCAGUCUGCAUGGAGCCGACCUUGAAAUACCACCCUUUAAUGUUUGAUGUUCUAACGUUGACCCGUAAUCCGGGUUGCGGACAGUGUCUGGUGGGUAGUUUGACUGGGGCGGUCUCCUCCUAAAGAGUAACGGAGGAGCACGAAGGUUGGCUAAUCCUGGUCGGACAUCAGGAGGUUAGUGCAAUGGCAUAAGCCAGCUUGACUGCGAGCGUGACGGCGCGAGCAGGUGCGAAAGCAGGUCAUAGUGAUCCGGUGGUUCUGAAUGGAAGGGCCAUCGCUCAACGGAUAAAAGGUACUCCGGGGAUAACAGGCUGAUACCGCCCAAGAGUUCAUAUCGACGGCGGUGUUUGGCACCUCGAUGUCGGCUCAUCACAUCCUGGGGCUGAAGUAGGUCCCAAGGGUAUGGCUGUUCGCCAUUUAAAGUGGUACGCGAGCUGGGUUUAGAACGUCGUGAGACAGUUCGGUCCCUAUCUGCCGUGGGCGCUGGAGAACUGAGGGGGGCUGCUCCUAGUACGAGAGGACCGGAGUGGACGCAUCACUGGUGUUCGGGUUGUCAUGCCAAUGGCACUGCCCGGUAGCUAAAUGCGGAAGAGAUAAGUGCUGAAAGCAUCUAAGCACGAAACU
Molecule: ribosomal RNA, 1518 nt
Filed under: Escherichia coli
Lineage: Bacteria; Pseudomonadati; Pseudomonadota; Gammaproteobacteria; Enterobacterales; Enterobacteriaceae
Description: partial 23S ribosomal RNA
Rfam family: Bacterial large subunit ribosomal RNA
Source: RNAcentral